RNAcentral lists this ribosomal RNA (485 nucleotides) under uncultured Psychrobacter sp. RNAcentral describes it as "bacterial SSU rRNA". It matches the Rfam family "Bacterial small subunit ribosomal RNA", at positions 43 to 523 of the family's 1533-position model. Lineage: Bacteria; Pseudomonadati; Pseudomonadota; Gammaproteobacteria; Moraxellales; Moraxellaceae. The record is from RNAcentral.
CGGGAGCUUACCAUGCAGUCGAGCGGAACGAUGGUAGCUUGCUACCAGGCGUCGAGCGGCGGACGGGUGAGUAAUACUUAGGAAUCUACCUAGUAGUGGGGGAUAGCUCGGGGAAACUCGAAUUAAUACCGCAUACGACCUACGGGAGAAAGGGGGCAGUUUACUGCUCUCGCUAUUAGAUGAGCCUAAGUCGGAUUAGCUAGAUGGUGGGGUAAAGGCCUACCAUGGCGACGAUCUGUAGCUGGUCUGAGAGGAUGAUCAGCCACACCGGGACUGAGACACGGCCCGGACUCCUACGGGAGACAGCAGUGGGGAAUAUUGGACAAUGGGGGAAACCCUGAUCCAGCCAUGCCGCGUGUGUGAAGAAGGCCUUUUGGUUGUAAAGCACUUUAAGCAGUGAAGAAGACUCCGUGGUUAAUACCCACGGACGAUGACAUUAGCUGCAGAAUAAGCACCGGCUAACUCUGUGCCAGCAGCCGCGGUAA